UAUGAAUGUCAUUGUUCUUAUAGGUGGAACACGUUACAAAGACGUAAAAUAUACCGUGAAAGGUUAGUUCUCAAUCGUUAUGGUAAAAUAUUGUUAUAACGAUGGUUGUGAUAAUGAACCUUCAUGUAGUAGGUUAUCAACUUCAUGUAGCACCUAAAAUGUUAUACCUUCACUGAACUCUUACGGUGCUGCUAUCUUGUUUCAACUUGACGAGACUAUUCUCAAUGUUCCAUAAAAGAGGUUUAUAGAUGCGAGUGAGACCAUUGUAUGCUUGUGUGGCCUGCUGGACUCGUGCAUUAAGCAACAAGAUUUCAGCAGACAAGGCUUCUGUUUUGCUCUGCUCUUUAGCUAGUGAACCCUUGAUGGAUAUGAUGUCAGCAUAUUCUAUGCCUUGAAUUUCAUUUUUGCUGCCUUUGACACCUUGCUGGAUCAGGUUGUUGUUUGCAGUUGAUAUUGCAGUUUGGUCAUUCCUUAACUUAUCUAACAUAACACGAAGCUCCUCAUUUUGCUUGAGACAAUCUUUUACCUGAUUCUCCCACUGCACCGCCACCCCUAAAGCUUCUUGAUGAGCGGAAGAAAGAUCAGAAUUUUCCUCAAAUAGUCUCUCUAUCUCCGAGGAUUGUGAAUCGACCUCCAUAAGAAGUUUCUGCCGGCUACUUUCCAAUCUUUCAAUAGCCACUGCCAUAUCAUGUAAUUGCUUUUCAAGCCUCACCUUGUCUCCCUCUGAGAAUGUCUUCUGGGAUGCCUUUCCGGUGACUUCACCUGAGACCUUUUUGGACAUAACAGCAAGCUUCUCUUCCAAAUCCUGCUUUUGAGAAUUUAGUGCAGAUACAUGCGCUAUCUCCUCCACUAACUGCUGUCUUUCUUGUUGCCUCAACAGGGUCACUUGCUCUAAUUGAGAUUUUAAAUUUGCUAGCUCCUUCUCCAUAGCUUGCAUACAAUCUGGCGGAAAAUUCAUUGAAGUUAAACCACUUAUAGGACCAGUCAAUGCUUGCUGCUGUAAUGAGUUUAGUUCUGCUCUUAGAGAUCCCGCAUCCUCUUCAGCCCGAUACUGUUCCUCUUCUACUUCCUUCAAACGUUUCUUAAUUGUACGAAGCAGAGCUGAAAGAUCCUCUCGUGCAACAACUGCUGCAUCCUUUUCCAUGGCAACAUCCUUGAGCGCUUUUCUUAAUGAAGGUAUAGUGAUUUGCUCCAGAUCGUUAAGACGUUUUUGCAACAUGUUGUUCUCAACUUCUUUUGUCUGAAGCUUUGAGGCGAAUGCUCUGUUUUCUUCAUCUAGCUGUGUGUUUUGUUUUUGCACAACUUUUAAUUGAGAAACUAAGGCAGUGAUAUCAUUCUCUGAUAGGCGAGUUGCACUCCGAGAUUUUGUAAUCCCCAAAACCUCAGGUUUGGCAAGAUCUGGUCCAGAAGACAUCUUGCUUAAUCUCUCCGCUGCUCUCCUUUGACGAAUUUCUUCCAACGUUCGACGACCAAGGGAGACAUGACGAGACUCCAUCAAUUCCAAUGCGAGGAAGGACCUUCUCCGCUGCUGCUUUGCCUAACCCAAAACAAAAAAAAGUAUGAAAUUUUGUUAUGAAAUAAUAUUAAUUUACAAGAACAUUAAAGUAGGAAGGAG
Molecule: unclassified non-coding RNA, 1615 nt
Filed under: Hevea brasiliensis (rubber tree)
Lineage: Eukaryota; Viridiplantae; Streptophyta; Magnoliopsida; Malpighiales; Euphorbiaceae
Source: RNAcentral